CCCCCUUCCCCCUUCCAAUCUAACAGCAUCACCGUUACUUGUGUAACUCGCAGUUCAAUUACCUCGCUAAUACGAGUUGUCUCUUCCGAUGAUUCCUCCGCCUUCAUGAGCUAUAGCCACAUACAUACAUAUAUACCACACAUGUACUUAUUUGCGGAGAUGCAUCCCCUUCUUCACCGCUUGUAACUCGAAUUCGUUAAUUAUUUUGACAGUCGGCCAUGUUGACAGCCGCAAAAGUCAACGGGAUGAGAGAAAUGAACAAACCUGAUGUGUAAGUGGAGUGACCCGAUCAAUGUGCAGGCAAUGGCUUGAGAGGUUCUGUUGUGGCCACAUGAAACUUGCAUGAGGCGCCGUCUUCCGCCCAUUCCGGAAUGUGUGUGGCAGCCACAGCCAUUUUGGCCAACCACUGAUUAUGCCACAUCCGAAUUGGACAUGUCAAAUUAGCCACGACAUAAACAAGAACAGAUACAUAUGUACAUACGCAUGUACAUAUGUACAUAUGUUAUCGAAGAAGUCAAACUUUAACUCACCCACUCCAAAAUGAUUACUGCU
Molecule: non-coding RNA, 552 nt
Organism: Drosophila melanogaster (fruit fly)
Lineage: Eukaryota; Metazoa; Arthropoda; Insecta; Diptera; Drosophilidae
Source: Ensembl